Molecule: ribosomal RNA, 204 nt
Filed under: uncultured bacterium
Lineage: Bacteria
Description: partial 16S ribosomal RNA
Rfam family: Bacterial small subunit ribosomal RNA
Source: RNAcentral
UGCGUAGGCGGUCGGGUAAGUCUGAUGUGAAAUCUCCAAGCUCAACUUGGAAAUGGCAUCGGAUACUAUUCGGCUCGAGGAAUGGAGGGGAGACUGGAAUACUUGGUGUAGCAGUGAAAUGCGUAGAUAUCAAGUGGAACACCAGUGGCGAAGGCGAGUCUCUGGACAUUUCCUGACGCUGAGGCAAGCCAGGGGAGCGAAACG